This 1936-nucleotide long non-coding RNA is filed under the name Sorghum bicolor (sorghum). RNAcentral's name for it is "long non-coding RNA (SBIC_LNC006777)". The record is from RNAcentral. Lineage: Eukaryota; Viridiplantae; Streptophyta; Magnoliopsida; Poales; Poaceae.
AAGCCCAAGUUGUGGGCGCCUUCCGCCUGCAACCCUAGACGCCUCUCUUUAUAUUCCAUGCAGCUGCCGCUAUCGAGACUUGGGUUUUGUUUAGAGUUUAGUUUUCCAUCGAGAAACUAAACCAUUCAUUAUAACUAUGGUGGCAAAUCAGUAAUCCAGGGCCCCCGUUCUUGAUCUCCUCCACUGUGUCGAUUAGUCAUUUGAAACAGAGUUCUUGAACCCUCUUUUGAUAUUUGUGUCAUUCAUAUUUGCAAUUUAAGAUUGUGUGUUUAUACCUUCCUAUUUGUGUUCUUCGAUUUGCUGGUAGGAAAAGCUUUUUUGGCGAGGUCAAUCAAGUUGUGCUUGGUUGAUAACCAACGGAGCAGUGGUGUAAUGGUUGUAGGGUUCGAAUAAAAUCUGAUUUGAAGCCAGAUCACCAAUGUCGAGAUCUCCACAAAUUAAAUUUACCAAUUAUCUCUCGGAAGAUUGGGCUAGUAUCUCAUCAAAUUGUAUCAGAUAUUUCAGGUUUACCACGAGGUAUAAUCUCGUUUACCUUAUAUUCAUAUUUGUUAAUUACCUAGAGUCCACAAAAGCCCAAAAAACAUUUCAAUUUAUGUUGUCGUAUUAUCCGUUAUGCCUUGCAAUUUUGUUUUUAGAUUUGCUUUGUUGAGUUUGUGUCUGUGGUUGAGUCUAGUUGCUAGUUUUGAUUGUGUUCAUUAUCAUAGUUCAACUUCACUGUUGUUGUUCUUUGUUUCUGCCACUAUCCCAUCCACUGUUCCCAAACAACAAGUCAAAGCCACCAUAUUACUCAACUUGCCCUGCUAGCCGCCUUGUGUGAUCUCUCGCUGCCACGCUAACCCUAGAUAGGUUGCUAGCCGUGGUUAUUUUGCCUGCAUCGCAGCCCUCCUUACAUCAUCAGGUGAAUACCUAUUGUUGUUAGUUACAGUGACGAUUCAUUCUAUGAUCGGUGUUGGAGUUUAGGGACACUUUGCCCUAACUGCCGCCGCCGCCGCCAUGUUGUGCCUUCCGGGAAAACAUAACUUGACAUAUCUUUAGUAAAAUACACAUAACUUUUUGCUCGUUUAUUAGAAAAAUCUGAAAUUUUUAGCAGCUUCUUCACACCAUUUGGAGCCGACCCAAACUGGGCAAAGCCCUAUGUGGUCUCAUCAAAAUUGCCAAAGGAAAUCGGAAAAAUAAAGAAAAAAUUGUCAAGGGUUUUGCACGCUUUUUAGAGAACUUGCUGAAUUUCUAUAGACCAUAUCCCACCUCAGUUGUAGGUGCCAAUUUUUAUGGUUGUUUCAUUUGUGAUCCUAGUUUAGAGAAAAAUAUAAAAAAUAGUGAAAAAAUAAAAAAAAGUUUGAUUUCUACUGGUGCCUUUUGGGAAAAAUCAAAAUCAGGAAAAAGAAAAAAUAUGCACUACGUCCUUUGUUUCACCUUGUUACGCUAUAUCUAGACAUGUCUUAGCCAACAAUUGUGAUUUAUCCUUUGGAUACUUAUUGAACUUAGUUAAAUCUGCAUUUGUUAAUUACUAAUCCUUGACACUCAUAAUGUGCCUUAUCAAAGCUCCACAUAUACUUCUAUCAGCAUAAAUUCAUCUUGCAACUGUUACCCACGCUCAACAACAGAUUGUUUCACCAAUUUGGUUUUACUUCUGUUUGCCUUUGGUAAGAAUACUUGUAAGACGAUGGUAAGCCGCUUGUGAUUUUGCAUUCCACUUUCAGCACCAACACCACUUGGUUCUCUUUAGUUGAUAGGGAUAAUAUUUUGCUGUUGUCUUUUCUUAUUUUCUAAUCAUGGCAGAAUCUCCGAUUGGUUUUAAUGAUUGUGUGUCCAAGGACGAGCACUGAACAACACAAUCUUAUGAAUGAGCUAACGCACAAUAUCAACAAUCUAGUCACCCGCAUUAAAUAGAUUGAGCAACGUCCUCCAUCUCAUUGUGCUGAUGAUGAAGAUGUUG